GAAAGCUUCAAGAUUAGCGACUCUCUAGGAUCGAGUAUUUCUUUUGAACCCCUUUACAAUAUUCCAAAAGAAAAGAGUUAUGCAGGAACAAUUAGCUAAGAAAUCAAGCAUCACUUUGAAAUAAUUGCUACUUAAGAAGACAAUUAGGAUUCGCAGUCUCUGUAUCUCCCAAUUGUUUUUAUUCUUCACAGGCUGCACCGAUUAGGAGCACUUGAUCCAAUAGCAAUAGUGAACGGUGGAGAAGGAUGGCGCUUCUUUUCUUGCAUAUGGCUACACGCUGGAGUUGCUCAUCUAUUCACAAACAUGAUGAGCCUUCUAUUUAUAGGAAUCCCACUUGAGCAGGACUUUGGAUUUUGUAAGAACUCACCAUCGAUGUGUAGCUACACAUGAUCAAUGCUGCUUUUAUAUGUUCAAUCACUAUUGAUACUCAAAUUACUCGAUGUGGCAGUGAGGAUAGGAGUAUUGUACGUAUUGUCUGGUUUUGGUGGAAGCUUGAUGUCUGCCCUUAGUCCGAAGCCGAAUAUAUCAGUCGGUGCAUCUGGUGCACUUCUUGGACUUCUGGGAUCCAUGCUUUCUGAGCUCUUCUUGAACUGGACAAUCUAUGCAAAUAAGGUAAACAGCAGCUUUCAAAAUAUUAACUAGUAAAUUUUGGCUAUAAAUUAUCUUCUAUAGCAUAAGAAAAUUUUCUAAUCCUGUCAAUUCAGUGUAAAUCAGUUUCCACCCUCCUGCUAAUCAUUACCCUGAAUCUAGCGUUCGGUCUCAUUCCUCAUGUGGACAAUUCAGCUCAUAUCGGAGGAUUUCUUUCAGGAUUUCUUCUUGGUUUCAUUCUUCUAAUGCGUCCUCAAUAUGGAUAUGUAAGCCGCAGGUAUAUACCUGCAGGGUACGAUAUCAAAAGAAAACCCAAACACAAAUGCUAUCAAUAUAUGAUGUUGAUUACAGCGUUGAUCGUCCUAAUUAUAGGGUAAAUAUAUAACUAAAAAAGUUCUUCGUAUAAUACUGUUUUCAAGAUAUUCAUAUUGAAACUAUCAAUUUAGCUAAAAUUUCUGAGAUUUGGCAGGUACCUGUGGGGCUUGACAUUGCUGUAUAGUGGCCGUAGAUUGAAAUUUUCUCAUCAAAACUCCAGUUAAUUAGCUAGCUAGUCCUUCAAAGAGUUCGAGACCAGCAAAAUUAUCCUUCUAUUUAUGUACACUCUUACUGACAUGUAAGUUGGCAUUAUAUAUAUGAAAUAAUUAUGCGCAUAAUCAAAUCUAAUGUUUUUAAGAUUCAAUGGAGGCACAACAUGCCUGGUAUAUGCUACACAGUAUGAGGUAGUCCUCUUGUUUUUUUCACUAUAAAAAUGAAUAAUCUUAUAAUAAGUAGAUGGGUAGACUUGAACUUGAAAUCGCCCCACUCCCUACACUCUUAAAUGUAGAAAAAGCUAUCCCUAAUUGGCACAUAUUCACAUAUUAGACCUAGGAUUAUGAACAUUAUGCAUUUAUAAUAAUAUUUGCACUCAUCAAUGUGGCUCUGCUUUUAUUUCAGGGUAUGUGCUUUCUGUGAGUAAAGAUGAAGGGAAACAAGACAGAAAGAAGACAUCAUGAAGGUUUUGUUUAUUGGCUGGCUUCUAUGGACAUUAGUACACAUUUUGCUUGAGUCAUCACUCUUUCUGUGCUAUGGAAGAACAAUGUGAAUUAUAUAAGUAUUUCUCAUUUUCCAACGGCAGAAUAUCUAGAUUGUAACAGGGAGGAGAAGCAGCAUUUUACUACGAGUUUU
This 1752-nucleotide unclassified non-coding RNA is filed under the name Hevea brasiliensis (rubber tree). Lineage: Eukaryota; Viridiplantae; Streptophyta; Magnoliopsida; Malpighiales; Euphorbiaceae. The record is from RNAcentral.